RNAcentral lists this long non-coding RNA (1026 nucleotides) under Piliocolobus tephrosceles (Ugandan red Colobus). RNAcentral's name for it is "lncRNA (ENSPTEG00000012567.1)". Lineage: Eukaryota; Metazoa; Chordata; Mammalia; Primates; Cercopithecidae. The record is from RNAcentral.
GCAAACAAAGGACAAUACCUAUAAACAUGUAUCACAAUUUUUAUGUUUUUAUUUUCUCUUUAUAUAUCUUAAAAUUAAAAUCCGAAUUAAAAAAGCAUUUACGCUUUUAUGAAACAUUAAAGAGGUUCAAGAAAAACAAACUUAAAACAAAUAAAAUAAGAAUAAAUAAAAACAAACUUAUGCAAUUGUUUUACCAAAAUAAAACUAAUGUAAUAAAUUUUCAGCACGAUAAAAAUAAAUAUGAAACUUUUUCUAUUAUGAAUGUCAGUAACUACGACAUUAAAAAUACGAAUACAAUUACUGCAAGUGCUAAUCAUAAGAACAGUGUUCAACAUUACGAAAGAAUAGGUAACAACAGUUGUAACUAUAAAAGUUUUAUUGAUAAACGUAAUAACAGUUAUAAAAACAUAAAGAACAUUAUUUUCGAUUUGUCUAACCCAACGGAUAACAUACGUAUGGGUAGCUUAAAUAUGGGUAACCUAAACAUGGGUAACCUAAACAUGGGUAACCUAAACAUNNNNNNNNNNAACAUGGGUAACCUAAACAUGGGUAACCUAAACAUGGGUAACCUAAAUAUGGGUAGCCUAAAUAUGGGUAGCUUAAAUCUAAAUAAAACAAACGAACGUAGUAUGUUAAACUUUUUACACUUAACAAAAAAUAUUAAACGAGUGCAUAGUAAUAUGAAUACGAUACAAUAUAUAAAAGAAAAAAGCACUAUUCAUAAAUUUUUAAAUAUUACCAAAAAAUUGUAUUUGUACAAAAAAGUAUUAGAAGGAGUGUAUGUAGUUAAUUUGAAUCAAUAUAAACAAUUAUAUGAUUAUUUUCUUUUAUAUGAAACUGUUUUCAAAAUGUAUAAUAGUGGAAUAUGCUUGUUUUUGUCACGCAGCAAUGAUGCACAAAAAGACGAAAAACAUAACAAUCGUACGAUUACUAAUUAUAUUAACAGUAAUACAAAUAUACCAUGUUAUAGUUAUAUAAACUUGAUAGCGAAUACAGAUUUACAGACCUUGGAAAAAUUAAAUAAUC